AUAUUGGACAAUGGGCGCAAGCCUGAUCCAGCCAUGCCGCGUGAGUGAUGAAGGCCUUAGGGUUGUAAAGCUCUUUUGUCCGGGAAGAUAAUGACUGUACCGGAAGAAUAAGCCCCGGCUAACUUCGUGCCAGCAGCCGCGGUAAUACGAAGGGGGCUAGCGUUGCUCGGAAUCACUGGGCGUAAAGCGCACGUAGGCGGACUCUUAAGUCGGGGGUGAAAGCCCAGGGCUCAACCCUGGAACUGCCUUCGAUACUGGGAGUCUUGAGUGUGGAAGAGGUUGGUGGAACUGCGAGUGUAGAGGUGAAAUUCGUAGAUAUUCGCAAGAACACCAGUGGCGAAGGCGGCCAACUGGUCCAUUACUGACGCUGAGGUGCGAAAGCGUGGGGAGCAAACAGGA
RNAcentral lists this ribosomal RNA (399 nucleotides) under uncultured bacterium. RNAcentral's name for it is "bacterial SSU rRNA". It matches the Rfam family "Bacterial small subunit ribosomal RNA", at positions 361 to 777 of the family's 1533-position model. The record is from RNAcentral.